Molecule: long non-coding RNA, 383 nt
Filed under: Panax ginseng (ginseng)
Lineage: Eukaryota; Viridiplantae; Streptophyta; Magnoliopsida; Apiales; Araliaceae
Description: long non-coding RNA (PGIN_LNC018434)
Source: RNAcentral
AAUCUUCGUCUGGCCCCGCCAGGAAUCUUCGGACGGAGAUCCCCUGAAUUAUGCUUAGAAGUCGUGCUCUCGUGAGCACUCUUGGAAGGACCCAGACGAUCCUUCACCGAAACACGAGGCAGUGACGAGCUAACAGCCAUCGCCUGCCCUUCUGGUGUACCAUCCCUACUCCUCAUCAUCUUCCAAAGUAGGUUAAACGAUUGUGAUUGAAAAUUUUAAUGACACUAGAACUCAAAACCCCUCCUUCUAGCGCCAAUGUUAACGCCAGGAUCUUUCUCCACAUUCCAAUCACGUAAGACGUCCUGAUCCUGCACAGUAAACACAGUCAACACCGAAAGCUUGACGGCGGUUCCGUCGGGGGAUAGCUCAGGCGUGAGAAUUAG